GAUGAACGCUGGCGGCGUGCCUAAUACAUGCGAGUCGAGCGAACGGACGAGAAGCUUGCUUUUCUGAUGUUAGCGGCGGACGGGUGAGUAACACGUGGAUAACCUACCUAUAGGACUGGGAUAACUUCGGGAAACCGGAGCUAAUACCGGAUAAUAUUUUGAACCGCAUGGUUCAAAAGUGAAAGACGGUCUUGCUGUCACUUAUAGAUGGAUCCGCGCUGCAUUAGCUAGUUGGUAAGGUAACGGCUUACCAAGGCAACGAUGCAUAGCCGACCUGAGAGGGUGAUCGGCCACACUGGAACUGAGACACGGUCCAGACUCCUACGGGAGGCAGCAGUAGGGAAUCUUCCGCAAUGGGCGAAAGCCUGACGGAGCAACGCCGCGUGAGUGAUGAAGGUCUUCGGAUCGUAAAACUCUGUUAUUAGGGAAGAACAUAUGUGUAAGUAACUGUGCACAUCUUGACGGUACCUAAUCAGAAAGCCACGGCUAACUACGUG
RNAcentral lists this ribosomal RNA (497 nucleotides) under uncultured bacterium. RNAcentral describes it as "partial 16S ribosomal RNA". It matches the Rfam family "Bacterial small subunit ribosomal RNA", at positions 28 to 507 of the family's 1533-position model. The record is from RNAcentral.